Molecule: ribosomal RNA, 207 nt
Filed under: uncultured bacterium
Lineage: Bacteria
Description: partial 16S ribosomal RNA
Rfam family: Bacterial small subunit ribosomal RNA
Source: RNAcentral
CGCGUAGGUGGCUUGUCAGGUCCGGUGUGAAAUCCUGGGGCUUAACUCCAGGCGUGCAUCGGAAACCGGCUUGCUAGAGUCUGGGAGAGGAGAGUGGAAUUCCUGGUGUAGCGGUGAAAUGCGUAGAUAUCAGGAGGAACACCGGUAGCGAAGGCGGCUCUCUGGAACAGUACUGACGCUGAGGCGCGAAAGCUAGGGGAGCGAACA